Molecule: unclassified non-coding RNA, 334 nt
Filed under: soil metagenome
Description: partial contains 5.8S ribosomal RNA, internal transcribed spacer 2, and large subunit ribosomal RNA
Rfam family: 5.8S ribosomal RNA (bases 1-120)
Source: RNAcentral
GAUGAAGAACGCAGCGAAAUGCGAUAAGUAUUGUGAAUUGCAGAAUUCAGUGAAUCAUCGAAUCUUUGAACGCACAUUGCGCCCGCCAGUAUUCUGGCGGGCAUGCCUGUUCGAGCGUCAUUUCAACCAUCAAGCCCCCGGCUUGUGUUGGGGACCUGCGGCUGCCGCAGGCCCUGAAAACCAGUGGCGGGCUCGCUAGUCACUCCGAGCGUAGUAAUACAUCUCGCUCAGGGCGUGCUGCGGGUUCCGGCCGUUAAAAGCCUUAUUUACCCAAGGUUGACCUCGGAUCAGGUAGGAAGACCCGCUGAACUUAAGCAUAUCAAUAAGCGGAGGA